RNAcentral lists this ribosomal RNA (517 nucleotides) under uncultured bacterium. RNAcentral's name for it is "bacterial SSU rRNA". It matches the Rfam family "Bacterial small subunit ribosomal RNA", at positions 29 to 526 of the family's 1533-position model. The record is from RNAcentral.
AGCGAACGCUGGCGGCGUGCCUAACACAUGCAAGUCGAACGUGAACGGCUUCGGCCUAGUAAAGUGGCGUACGGGUGAGUAACGCGUAGGUAAUCUACCCCAGAGUCUGGAAUAACCUGCCGAAAGGCGGGCUAAUACUAGAUAGAGCGACGGAAUCCGUAAUUGGGUUUUUCGGGAAAGGGAGCUGGUAACGGCCCUCGCUUUGGGAUGAGCCUGCGUCUCAUUAGCUAGUUGGUAAGGUAAUGGCUUACCAAGGCUUUGAUGGGUAGCUGGUCUGAGAGGAUGAUCAGCCACACUGGAACUGAAACACGGUCCAGACUCCUACGGGAGGCAGCAGUGGGGAAUCUUGCGCAAUGGACGAAAGUCUGACGCAGCCACGCCGCGUGAGUGAAGAAGGCCUUCGGGUUGUAAAGCUCUGUCGGGCGAGACGAAAACCUAUUCGGUGAAUAGCCGAGUAGACUGACGGUACCGCCAAAGGAAGCACCGGCUAACUUCGUGCCAGCAGCCGCAGUAAAAC